UAAGGGUAAGUUUUAUAAUACAGGUGUGUCUAGCCUGAGAGGUAGCCUUAA
This 51-nucleotide transfer RNA is filed under the name Acanthogyrus cheni. RNAcentral's name for it is "tRNA-Asp". The record is from RNAcentral. Lineage: Eukaryota; Metazoa; Acanthocephala; Eoacanthocephala; Gyracanthocephala; Quadrigyridae.